UGGGAAUAUUGCACAAUGGGGGAAACCCUGAUGCAGCGACGCCGCGUGAAGGAAGAAGUAUCUCGGUAUGUAAACUUCUAUCAGCAGGGAAGAUAGUGACGGUACCUGACUAAGAAGCCCCGGCUAACUACGUGCC
RNAcentral lists this ribosomal RNA (136 nucleotides) under uncultured bacterium. Its description in RNAcentral is "partial 16S ribosomal RNA". It matches the Rfam family "Bacterial small subunit ribosomal RNA", at positions 356 to 509 of the family's 1533-position model. The record is from RNAcentral.